This 440-nucleotide long non-coding RNA is filed under the name Mytilus galloprovincialis (Mediterranean mussel). The record is from RNAcentral. Lineage: Eukaryota; Metazoa; Mollusca; Bivalvia; Mytilida; Mytilidae.
UUGCUGUCGAUUAUUGACAAAUAGUCGGGUGACAAUGUUGACCAAGAUUCCAUGACAUGCAUGGACAUGUAAGAGCCUUCAGUAUAUGAUAUUGUUCUUUUUUAUGUCAUUAUGAUAUAUUUCUAUUAUGAAUUACAAAAUACGUUGAACCACAAACGUCAAAUUUAUUCAAUCCCGUAGUGGAAUGAACUACUUUCGGAUUCUUAUAAAUUCUAUAUAACUUUUGUACUAUUUUAAAUCUCGGUCAAUUUCUGAAAUUAAUUCUUACAUACUUUGAUUUUUAACCAUGUAUGCUAACAUUGCCUAUGUGAAAUUUUUAAAUUGUUUGUAUGUUCAUUGAACAAGAAAUAUAUGUGACGUAUAAAAUUUUCUGACGUCAUGAUGCAGACACGCGAAUCAAUGAAUGUGUUUGUAAAUAGAUGUUUUUGUGUUCUGUUGAA